RNAcentral lists this ribosomal RNA (537 nucleotides) under Triticum aestivum (bread wheat). RNAcentral's name for it is "partial small subunit ribosomal RNA". The record is from RNAcentral. Lineage: Eukaryota; Viridiplantae; Streptophyta; Magnoliopsida; Poales; Poaceae.
AUGCGCCAGCUAAGGCUCGUCACCAACAUGAGGGCUCAUAAUGACACCUGGUUUGUGGACUACUUGCUAAGGGUAGGCAAUGGCACCGAGGAAGUUUACGAUCAAGGAAACAUACGACUCCCUGAAGAUAUUUUUGUGCCGUCUACAGGCAAGGGUGACAACCUGGAGAAGCUGAUUGACCAUGUGUUUCCGAGACUAGAUGACAACAUGUCCGAUCCGAAUUACAUGACUUCACGUGCAAUCCUCUUCACCACGAACGACAAAGUCGACAAGAUAAACAUACGCAUGGUAGAGCAUUUUCGGCGAGAAGUAAUCUACCAUAGCUUUGACAGUGUAGAAGACAACCCGUAUGGCUACUACGCUCCCGAGUUCCUAAAUGGAUUGACUCCCAACGGUCUGCCUCCGCAUGCACUCAAACUGAAGCUCAACUGCCCUGUCAUACUUCUCCGGAACAUUGAUCCGGCUAAUGGUCUGUGUAAUGGACGAGGCUUGUGGUGCGAGGUUUCGAGAGGAACACCAUCGACGCAGAAAUCGUGA